CCUACGGGCGGCAGCAGUGAGGAAUAUUGGUCAAUGGGCGAGAGCCUGAACCAGCCAAGUAGCGUGAAGGAUGACUGCCCUAUGGGUUGUAAACUUCUUUUAUAAAGGAAUAAAAUGAGGCACGUGUGCCUUUUUGCAUGUACUUUAUGAAUAAGGAUUGGCUAACUCCGUGCCAGCAGCCGCGGUAAUACGGAGGAUCCGAGCGUUAUCCGGAUUUAUUGGGUUUAAAGGGAGCGUAGAUGGGUUGUUAAGUCAGUUGUGAAAGUUUGCGGCUCAACCGUAAAAUUGCAAUUGAUACUGGCAGCCUUGAGUACAGUUGAGGUAGGCGGAAUUCGUGGUGUAGCGGUGAAAUGCUUAGAUAUCACGAAGAACCCCGAUUGCGAAGGCAGCUUACUAAACUGUGACUGACAUUGAUGCUCGAAAGUGUGGGUAUCAAACAGGAUUAGAUACCCCAGUAGUC
This 460-nucleotide ribosomal RNA is filed under the name uncultured bacterium. RNAcentral's name for it is "partial 16S ribosomal RNA". It matches the Rfam family "Bacterial small subunit ribosomal RNA", at positions 338 to 795 of the family's 1533-position model. The record is from RNAcentral.